Molecule: long non-coding RNA, 1854 nt
Filed under: Homo sapiens (human)
Lineage: Eukaryota; Metazoa; Chordata; Mammalia; Primates; Hominidae
Description: HSALNT0308537
Source: RNAcentral
CCCUUUUCCCUUUCUGCCCUCUGCCAUGUGAGGUCACAGUGUUCCUCCCUCCUGAGGAUGCAGUGUUCAUGAAAGCAAACACUGGGCCCUCACCAGGCAACAAACCUGCUGGUGCCUUCAUCUUGGACUUCCCAGCCUUCGGAACUAUGGAGCCCGCACUCUCCAGUUCAUCACCACCCCAGCAUCCCUACUCUUGCAUCUAACAGUUUCCGCUAUUUUGCACCACCUGCCUGGCCCUUAUGGGCAACUCAAGGAAGAAAGGAAAGAAGAGAUAGAGGAAAAAUGGAUUCAACAAAUGAAAGUGUUCUUUCUGACUACUGCUGUGUUUACAAACAUUUUAAUCAUCAAAACAUGCUUUAUUUGAUAGAAAGAUCAAAUCUGCCUUUGUAAAACAAGAGACUAUUUUAAUCAUUAAGACAACACACAUGUUUGAUUUGGAGGCGUGUUCUCAUUCAAAACCUUGCAAAAUAUAAUUUCUUCUUGUCUGGGAGAUGGUGUCUUUCUUCGGGGAGAACCUUGAGAGAAAUGUCUAUGAAUGUGUCUGUAGAUUGAGGAUAGGCCAACAAACAUAUUUUGAAAUAUUUUUUCUUUCUUUUAAAAAAAUAGAUACUUUUAAAAGAAAAUGCUUAUUUAAAUUACAUAGCUCUUUUUUUCACUCUCAGUCAUCAUUUGUGGUUUCAGUCAGUACUACAUUUAUUCCCCAGAGCUAGGAUUGCUGUGUUUUUAGAAAGGGAGCCUGUUUGAAGGGACUCUAUACUCUUGCAGUAAUUAAAAUCCUUUUAGGAGUCUUUGACUUUGACUUACUGCUUUGUUUUAAAUUAUUGAAAUUAUUCAACUUCCCCAUUCUAACCCACGGAAGGCUGUUGUUGUUCUCAUUUAUAAUGGCACAAUAUAAGUUUAAAGAUAGCUGUCUCCACAUGAAUGCAUCUGCAAAUCCAUCUCUCUUCUCUCUUCUGCCAUCCAGGUUAAGAAGCUCCACUGCGCUUUGUCCAUUGCAAGUUGAGAAGUGAGGCCCCAGCUGUCACAUACAUAGAGACGGGGUUUCUCCAUGUUGAGGCUGGUCUCAAACUCCUGACCUCAGGUGAUUCACCCGCCUCGGCCUCCCAAACUGCUGGGAUUAUAGGCAUAAGCCACCGCGCCCGGCCUUAGGCUCCAUCACAAGAGGGAGCCCCAUUGCUAGUCCCCAUCCUCAAAGCCUCUGCGUGAUGUUGUCUACUGUUACUCUUCACUACCCUGUGGGAGCCAAAGCCCUGGACAUAAGAACAGAAGGCAAGCAGUGGUGGCUGAGAGGAAGAACUGACACCUUUGUGCUAUCAGAGCACUUUGCAGAGGAGCUGUUAGUGGCCCUGUAGGAGUCUGCUGGCCAUACAUCUGGGUGUCAAAUCAAGAGAGCAUGAGAAGUUGGACAGGAAAGGUCCAAGGCAAAAUGGUUACUAAAGGCCAUCCCUGAUCCUGACCCUAAAAGAAGAAAAGGCCCUUUGCUCUUGGCAUGCUUUUGCAGGAGUGUCUCAGUCUGUUUGGGCUGCUAUAACAUUGACUGGGUGAUCUGCCUGCCUGGCCUCCCAAAGUGCUGGGGUUACAGGUGUGAGCCGCUGCACCAGGCCUUGAGGUCAGGAGUUCGAGACCAGCCUGGCCAACAUGGUGAAACCUGUCUUUACUAAAAAUACAGAAAUUAGCCAGGCAUGGAGGCGCAUGCCUGUAAUCCCAGCUACUGGGGAGGCUGAGGCAGGAGAAUCGCUUGAACCCAGAAGGUGGAGGUUGCGGUGAGCCCAGAUAGUGCCAUUGCACUCUAGCCUGGCCAACAAGAGUGAAACUCUGUCUCAAAAAAUAAAUAAACAAACAAACAAACAACAA